UACGGGGGGGGCAAGCGUUGUUCGGAAUUACUGGGCGUAAAGGGUUCGUAGGUGGCCAACUAAGUCAGACGUGAAAUCCCUCAGCUUAACUGGGGAACUGCGUCUGAUACUGGUUGGCUUGAGUGCAGGAGAGGAACGCGGAAUUCCAGGUGUAGCGGUGAAAUGCGUAGAUAUCUGGAGGAACACCGGUGGCGAAGGCGCCGUACUGGACAGCAACUGACGCUGAGACGCGAAAGCGUGGGGAGCAAACAGG
Molecule: ribosomal RNA, 253 nt
Filed under: uncultured bacterium
Lineage: Bacteria
Description: partial 16S ribosomal RNA
Rfam family: Bacterial small subunit ribosomal RNA
Source: RNAcentral